UAGCUGUAAUUUAUAGUGCUUGGGUGUCGUGGUUAAAAUGUAUAACUCUGGGAUUGAUAUUGAUGAUGUGAUGUUAAUGAAUAAAUCGAGUUUUAUUUGCCGAAUGACAUGUUAUUUUAGAAAUACAAAUUGAGUGUUGCUAAUGGUGAGUUUUCUUUAAACUCCUUUAUUAUUUCCAUGCUUGAAAUUCUUAUCAAUUUUACAUGG
Molecule: long non-coding RNA, 207 nt
Filed under: Gossypium barbadense (sea-island cotton)
Lineage: Eukaryota; Viridiplantae; Streptophyta; Magnoliopsida; Malvales; Malvaceae
Description: long non-coding RNA (GBAR_LNC017665)
Source: RNAcentral